AUUUUACAUCAAUAGCGGGGAAAAGGAACCAACAGGGAUUGCCUCAGUAACGGCGAGUGAAGCGGCAACAGCUCAAAUUUUAAAGCUGGCGUCUUUGACGCCCGCGUUGUAAUUUGGAGAGGCAUCUUCGGUUUGGGCGCCAGCCUAUGUUCCUUGGAACAGGACGUCACAGAGGGUGAGAAUCCCGUGCUUGGCUGGCUGUCCCUUUCCAUGUGAAGUGCCUUCGACGAGUCGAGUUGUUUGGGAAUGCAGCUCAAAAUGGGUGGUAAAUUCCAUCUAAAGCUAAAUAUUGGCGGGAGACCGAUAGCGCACAAGUAGAGUGAUCGAAAGAUGAAAAGCACUUUGAAAAUAGAGUUAAAAAGUACGUGAAAUUGUUGAAAGGGAAGCGCUUGAGACCAGACUCGGCCGGAGAUGAUCAGCCGUCCUUCUGGGCGGUGCACUUGUCUCCGGUCGGGCCAGCAUCGGUUGAGACGGCGGGAUAAAGGCCCGGGGAAUGUGGCUCCUUUCGGGGAGUGUUAUAGCCCCGGGCGCAAUGCCGCCAGCCUCGACCGAGGACCGCGCUUUUUGCUAGGAUGCUGGCGUAAUGGUCUUCAGCGACCCGUCUUGAAACACGGACCAAGGAGUCUAACAUCUAUGCGAGUGUUUGGGUGUCAAACCCUUGCGCGUAAUGAAAGUGAACGGAGGUGGGAACCCCUUCGCGGGGCGCACCAUCGACCGGUCCUGAUGUCUUCGGAUGGAUCUGAGUAGGAGCAUAGCUGUUGGGACCCGAAAGAUGGUGAACUAUGCCUGAAUAGGGUGAAGCCAGAGGAAACUCUGGUGGAGGCUCGCAGCGGUUCUGACGUGCAAAUCCAUCGUCAAAUCCGCUAAAAAGGCGAAAGGCA
This 881-nucleotide ribosomal RNA is filed under the name Gyromitra esculenta. RNAcentral describes it as "LSU rRNA". It matches the Rfam family "Eukaryotic large subunit ribosomal RNA", at positions 32 to 932 of the family's 3401-position model. The record is from RNAcentral. Lineage: Eukaryota; Fungi; Ascomycota; Pezizomycetes; Pezizales; Discinaceae.